GACGAACGCUGGCGGCGUGCUUAACACAUGCAAGUCGAACGGAAAGGCCCUGCUUUUGCGGGGUGCUCGAGUGGCGAACGGGUGAGUAACACGUGAGUAACCUGCCCUUGACUUUGGGAUAACUUCAGGAAACUGGGGCUAAUACCGGAUAGGAGCUCCUGCUGCAUGGUGGGGGUUGGAAAGUUUCGGCGGUUGGGGAUGGACUCGCGGCUUAUCAGCUUGUUGGUGGGGUAGUGGCUUACCAAGGCUUUGACGGGUAGCCGGCCUGAGAAGGUGACCGGCCACAUUGGGACUGAGAUACGGCCCAGACUCCUACGGGAGGCAGCAGUGGGGAAUAUUGCACAAUGGGCGGAAGCCUGAUGCAGCAACGCCGCGUGCGGGAUGACGGCCUUCGGGUUGUAAACCGCUUUCGCCUGUGACGAAGCGUGAGUGACGGUAAUGGGUAAAGAAGCACCGGCUAACUGCGUG
RNAcentral lists this ribosomal RNA (468 nucleotides) under uncultured bacterium. RNAcentral describes it as "partial 16S ribosomal RNA". It matches the Rfam family "Bacterial small subunit ribosomal RNA", at positions 28 to 507 of the family's 1533-position model. The record is from RNAcentral.